UUAACACAGCUAACACUGCGGAUUUGUGCAAACAGAAUAAAAGAUUAAGCUGAUCAUCUUUCCAUAUAUUUCUCUGUGUGUGCCCUAUCAAGGAUGGAUUUUCUGGGGGAAGGAGAAAUGUGGAGGUCAUAUAGAACAACCUCAUAGUGCUACGCAGAAGAGGGUGACAUUCAGCAGUGUGUGGUGUUUCCUGUGGAAGAACAGAAUUAGAGCUGGGGGCUGAGGAAAACUUUUCCUUUGGACUUGAGCUGGUAACAGGGAGUAAGUGUCCUUUUGCUCUUUGUUUUACUCUUCAUUUCACCUGACAAGGUCAAUUUUUUUAAGGGAAAAGGAAACUGCAUUACUGAAUAUAAAAUUUGUAAUAGGAUAAAAAAAAAUAUCCCUUAUUAUCUGAAUGAGUUAACAAUUCCUAAUGUUCUAUGGCAUAUCAUGAGUGUCAUCGCCAUUCUAACUCUGUGUUGUUAUUCUGAAUAAAAGAACCUGUACA
This is a non-coding RNA of Taeniopygia guttata (zebra finch), 487 nucleotides long. Lineage: Eukaryota; Metazoa; Chordata; Aves; Passeriformes; Estrildidae. The record is from RefSeq and is a predicted model, not a curated record.